This 499-nucleotide ribosomal RNA is filed under the name uncultured Glomeromycotina. Its description in RNAcentral is "partial small subunit ribosomal RNA". It matches the Rfam family "Eukaryotic small subunit ribosomal RNA", at positions 591 to 1092 of the family's 1831-position model. The record is from RNAcentral. Lineage: Eukaryota; Fungi; Glomeromycota.
CCAAUAGCGUAUAUUAAAGUUGUUGCAGUUAAAAAGCUCGUAGUUGAAUUUCGAGACCGGUCUACUGGUCGUGCUUUUGUACGUACUGGUUUUAUUGGUUUCUCCUUUCUGACGAACUAUAAUGCCAUUAAUUUGGUGUUAUAGGGAAUCAGGACUGUUACUUUGAAAAAAUUAGAGUGUUUAAAGCAGGCUCACGCUUGAAUACAUUAGCAUGGAAUAACGGAAUAGGACGUUUGAUUUUAUUUUGUUGGUUUCUAGGAUCGACGUAAUGAUUAAUAGGGAUAGUUGGGGGCAUUAGUAUUCAAUUGUCAGAGGUGAAAUUCUUGGAUUUAUUGAAGACUAACUACUGCGAAAGCAUUUGCCAAGGAUGUUUUCAUUAAUCAAGAACGAAAGUUAGGGGAUCGAAGACGAUCAGAUACCGUCGUAGUCUUAACCAUAAACCAUGCCGACUAGGGAUCGGAUGAUGUUAAUUUUUUAAUGACUCAUUCGGCGCCUUACG